Molecule: long non-coding RNA, 3423 nt
Organism: Xiphophorus hellerii (green swordtail)
Lineage: Eukaryota; Metazoa; Chordata; Actinopteri; Cyprinodontiformes; Poeciliidae
Exons: 2
Source: RefSeq, a predicted model, not a curated record
GGAGCCAGCCGCUCUGGGAUGAACAUUAAAAAAUAUAUUAUAUAUAUAUAUUUUAAAACCCACUUAUGGUUUCGGAUUCGAGUCUCAUCCCCAAACACUCACUGCUCGUCUUUAAAACAUGCAGAUGUUUUGCUGCUAACGGGUUCAUAAUCCACUUAUGGAGCUUGUGAAUAGUUUAUGGACGACUAAUUAAUCCAGCUUUUAACUCGGUGUGAGUUAUUGUCAGGUGUGUAAUCAAGAGCCCCGACAGCCAGGAGUGUAGGUGAAGGGCUCGUCUGUUUUCCUGAAGUUUCAAAAAUAAUAUUUUAACCGUCUGUCGUUACACUAUAAAAAGGAAUUUUUGGAGGCUGUUGAAUAUUAGGCGAUGAAAUGAAAUGAAAAUUGAAUCAAGGGUCAACAUUGUUGCUGGAAUUUGACUAAAACAGUUGGUUCAGUCAACUGUUCUCACUCAUCUUGUGUCUAACAGGCAGGAUGACAUUUCUGCCGGGUGAAUUAUGAGUGGAUAAAUCAACUCAGUAAAAAGAACAAAAAAAAAAAAACGACACGUUCCCUUAAGAUGUGUGGUUGUGAUGUUUUCUGUUUUUGAGCAAGAACUCGGUUUGUGUUCAGCUUUUAGCAUCAGCGCUAACGUUUAUGGUGAAACUUGCUAACAAGUUAAAUCUGCGGCCUUCGUUAAUGGAUGAUUCAUCUUGACUGUGGGGGUCUUAGAACAUUUCUUUAUUCCAACUUUUUAGAAUAAACUUUAAAUUUGUUCUAUUUCAAUACCUUCUCAGCUUUGGCUAGCUUAGCUACAGGGCUAACGCUAAAGUUGACGUUGCUAGCAGGCUAGGUGUCCUGAACCGUCGGCAGCCAUUGAUUUUGAAUGGUUCAUUCUAGCUGAGGGUGACUGGGAACAUCUGUGUGUUAAAAGUUCACUAUUUCAGCUCCAUUUUGUGACUUUGCUAGAUUAGUAUUACAUUUUAUAGCUUAAUCGUGAGCUAAUGUUUAUGUUUUGUUUUAACCAUUGGAGAACAAUCCAGAUUAGCAAAAAUGAUCUUAAUUGGAACCAAGUUAAAUUAGUCGAGUGAGUAAAUCUUGUUUGGAGUUAUUAUCAAAGUCUCACAUAGCUGUUGAGCUACGCAAAUUAUUACUUCAGUUUUAUUGAUAAAAUACUGACAGUUUGUUUUAUUAGUGUGGUCCAUUUGUCUGCAGGUUGCGGACCUUCCCUUCUCUUACUCAAACUAUUCGGAUUAAUAUUAACCUUAGAGCAAAAUUAUGAAAAUGAGCAACACAUUUAAUAAUUGAGGAGAGAGCUCACUAUUCCAUUCCAUAAGAAUAACUAGGUUAUUUGUAAAUGAUGCUUGCGUUUAGCCCUCCAAUUGUUGUUGCUACAUUAAAAAAAAAAAAACUAUUGGAAUUUCAGUUUUGGUCUUAAUCUUAGGCUGAAGUAGUGCAAACUCUUGGUGAGCGCACCUUUUUAGGUCUGAAUCGCAGCUGAUGGUGUCCGGCUCCCCCGCAGCUGCGCCGAAUGGGUCGCUCCACUCUGCCCGCUCUGUCCAAUGGCAGAGAGGCGCAGGGCUGGGGGCUCCCCCCCCCUCUAUUGGUUCUCUAUAGCGUGAUCGAUCCGAAGUCGAUUGAUAAGAGUUCUUAGGCCACAUUUGCGAGCGGUGCGCAAACUAGGAAAAGAAAAAAAGAAAAAGAAAAAAAAAAAAAAGAGUCGUUUGCGGAGAGAAAACACACAACUUUGCGCCUCCGCCGGUUUUUACGGUGCUUAACUCAAUUUAAAAAGCAAAUUAUCUGGCCAGAAAGGGUCUCUGCGUGUUUCUCUUUCAGUCUAACGCACACAAACGCGCGCACACACACAUAUAUAUAUAUAUAUAUGAUUUCAUGCAGGUUUUCAAAACGUCUUAAAGUAAAGAAAGUUAAACUCUGAUCAUGUUGCAAAACGUGUGCAUUUAAAGUGAAAUUAAUUCCUAAUUCACUUUAAAAGAAAAACGGACUGCUGUGCGCCAAAUCGCUUUCUUCGCAGAGAUUCUAAAAGUUUUUGGUGAACAUGAAUGGAUUUUAAAUGACGAUGCGAAACGUACAAUGAAUGUGCGCUCAUUGUACUGGCAUUAUUGGCAUUAUUUAUUGCAUUAUUGAUGCCGUGUGGUAUUAAAUGAUUACAACAAUUAUUAAAAAAAAAAAAAUCUGUCUCGUUAGAUGAGAUUUCUUGACAGUAACUUAUUUGAUUUCCAUCAACCUUUCUAAAUUCUAUUAUUUUUCCCUUUACGCCAAUUAAGACUCUACCUCAAUACUUGCUUUAAAAAAUAAAUACGGAGAUUUUUCAAGCACGUGACUAGUGUUUACUAGGGGGGGGGGGGGGGGGAACAUGGAUGUAGAGUUUCCAGAAAUGACCAGAAUUAUAAAAUGUUAAAUAUACAUAACGUAUAUAAAUAACGUUUAUCUGAUCUCGCUUCUGAGUUUUACGCAUCUCUUCCUCCCACUGCAACUUGUGAAUGAACAGAGUGAGAGAGUAGAAGAGCCCUAAUGUCCCCCUGAUUGAGCUCAGAAAGUGUCGUUGGUCGGUUUGCAGUUUUCUUUUCUUUCUUUUUUUUUUUUUUUCUUUUCUUUUCCCUUCCCCCUUCGCCCAGGAGCGUCCAGCCAUCGAUCAUCUGCCCCCCGGUGCCACCGCCGGUGUCGCAACACGGAUAACGCGGCUUCACGCGCUCGGCGCUGAUUCCUGAGCCACUAAGUCCCCCCGCGAGCGGUCGGAUUCGAGGGGAUGAUUUUACGGGCAUGAAAUGACCGGUUUUGAAGAAGAAGAAGAAAAAAAAAAGAAAGAAAGAAAGAAAAAGAAAAGGCUGCUUCAGUCCGGCCGGCGCGCGGCUCCUCCGUGGAGCGGUCAGACGGCCGGAGGAUCCGCCGGGGACUUAUACGCACUGAGGAAACGCGGACCAACGCGUAGACUGACUUGUUGUUCUGUUUAUUUCAGCUGUUUUGGCUGUUGCUUGUGACACGUUACGCCACACCUGCCGCCGACAAUUCCUCUUCUCCACUCUCGUUCAGCGCGUCCCGAGUUUCGAGGAGCAGAGACGGAGCCAGGAGAAAUGGCGCGAAUCGUGUGGACCGGAAGAGUUUGGAUCGUAUCGGCGCCGAUUUGGAGAUCAGUAGUCAAUAUUUUGUCAUCUGCGCGAAAGAUGGAUUAUUUUUUUUAAGAUCGCGCGGUCUUUGCAUCGCUUUGUUUGCCUUCAGGAGAGCAAAGUUGUUUCCAGAAAUAGGAUGGGUUCACGUGACCCGCACUGAAAAAAAAAACCAAACUUUCAUUUUACACAGGCUUUAAUGGUGGCCUAAUUAUCAAGUAAUUAACUUUUAUAAAGAUAAUUGAUCCGAGUUAUUAUGUUUUAUAAUAGCUUUAAGCUAAUCAGUGGUUUGCUUAAAUAAUAAAAAAAAGUAACUUAAUGA